Molecule: ribosomal RNA, 493 nt
Filed under: uncultured bacterium
Lineage: Bacteria
Description: bacterial SSU rRNA
Rfam family: Bacterial small subunit ribosomal RNA
Source: RNAcentral
AAAUGAAUAGACGGGGACUCGCACAAGCGGUGGAGCAUGCGGUUUAAUUCGAUGCAACGCGAAGAACCUUACCAGGUCUUGACAUCCCGCUGCCAGCCCCAGAAAUGGGGUCUUCCUUCGGGACGGCGGUGACAGGUGGUGCAUGGUUGUCGUCAGCUCGUGUCGUGAGAUGUUGGGUUAAGUCCCGCAACGAGCGCAACCCCUAUCAUUAGUUGCUACCAUUAAGUUGAGCACUCUAAUGAGACCGCCGGUGACAAACCGGAUGAAGGUGGGGAUGACGUCAAAUCAUCAUGCCCCUUAUGACCUGGGCUACACGCGUGCUACAAUGGCCGGUACAAAGAGUCGCGAAGCCGUGAGGCGGAGCUAAUCUCAAAAAGCCGGUCUCAGUUCGGAUUGUAGUCUGCAACUCGACUACAUGAAGGCGGAAUCGCUAGUAAUCGCGAAUCAGCAUGUCGCGGUGAAUACGUUCUCGAGUCUUGUACACACCGCCCGU